CUAAGAGCUUAUGGUGAAUGCCUUGG
Molecule: ribosomal RNA, 26 nt
Filed under: Ureaplasma urealyticum
Lineage: Bacteria; Bacillati; Mycoplasmatota; Mycoplasmoidales; Mycoplasmoidaceae
Description: partial 23S ribosomal RNA
Source: RNAcentral